UCGGUAGAGCAGGGGAUUGAAAAUCCCCGUGUCCUUGGUUCGAUUCCGAGUCCGGGCACCA
RNAcentral lists this transfer RNA (61 nucleotides) under Yersinia pestis PY-54. Its description in RNAcentral is "partial tRNA-Ser". It matches the Rfam family "tRNA", at positions 16 to 71 of the family's 71-position model. Rfam says of the family: Transfer RNA (tRNA) molecules are approximately 80 nucleotides in length. Their secondary structure includes four short double-helical elements and three loops (D, anti-codon, and T loops). Lineage: Bacteria; Pseudomonadati; Pseudomonadota; Gammaproteobacteria; Enterobacterales; Yersiniaceae. The record is from RNAcentral.